ACCUGGGUGGCUCAGUUGGUUGAGCGUCCAACUUUAGCUUAGGUCGUUAUCUCACAGUUCGUGGGUUCGAACCCCACAUCGGGCU
RNAcentral lists this transfer RNA (85 nucleotides) under Felis catus (domestic cat). It matches the Rfam family "tRNA". From Rfam's summary of the family: Transfer RNA (tRNA) molecules are approximately 80 nucleotides in length. Their secondary structure includes four short double-helical elements and three loops (D, anti-codon, and T loops). Further hydrogen bonds mediate the characteristic L-shaped molecular structure. tRNAs have two regions of fundamental functional importance: the anti-codon, which is responsible for specific mRNA codon recognition, and the 3' end, to which the tRNAs corresponding amino acid is attached (by aminoacyl-tRNA synthetases). tRNAs cope with the degeneracy of the genetic code in two manners: having more than one tRNA (with a specific anti-codon) for a particular amino acid; and 'wobble' base-pairing, i.e. permitting non-standard base-pairing at the 3rd anti-codon position. The record is from Rfam by way of RNAcentral. Lineage: Eukaryota; Metazoa; Chordata; Mammalia; Carnivora; Felidae.